GCAGUAUAAAAUCCCCAAACGGCUCGCUCUCCUCAGUCCUGCAGUCCCCUGCUGAACGCAAUUAUGACGACCACAGAUGAGCAGGAUGAAGAGGAAGAUGAUGAUUAUGAUGAAAAGACCUGAGCCCUAGGACCAUGCCUCAGGACUACCUGACAUGAUGACUCCUUGCUGUCUCCAGUCCACCUGGCCGUGCUGCUGCUCCAGUUUCAACUGUUCUGCCUGUGAUUAUUAUUAUUUGACCAUGCUGGUCAUUUAUGAACAUUUGAACAUCUUGGCCAUGUUCUGUUAUAAUCUCCACCCGACACAGCCAAAAGAGGACUGGCCACCCCACAUAGCCUCGUUCCUCUCUAGGUUUCUUCCUAGGUUUUGGCCUUUCUAGGGAGUUUUUCCUAGCCACCGUGCUUCUACACCUGCAUUGCUUGCUGUUUGGGGUUUUAGGCUGGGUUUCUGUACAGCACUUUGAGAUAUCAGCUGAUGUACGAAGGGCUAUAUAAAUACAUUUGAUUUGAUGAAAACCUGCUCCAGAGUGCUCAGGACCUCAGACUGAGGCGAAGGUUCAACUUCCAACAGGACAACGAACCAAAGUACACAGUCAAGACAACGCAGGAGUGGCUUCGGGACAAGUCUCUGAAUGUCCUUGAGUGGCCCAGCCAGAGCCGGACUUGAACCUGAUCGAACAUCUCUGGAGAGACCUGAAAAUAGCUGUGCAGCAACAUUCCCCAUCCAACAUGACAGCGCUUGAGAAGAUCUGCAGAGAAGAAUGGGAGAAACUCCCCAAAUACAGAUGUACCAAGAUUGUAGCGUCCUACCCAAGAAGACGCGAUGCUGUAAUCGCUGCCAAAGGUGCUUCAAUGAAGUACUGAAUACUUGUGUAAAUGUAAUAUAUAUCAUUUUUUUGCAAAAAUAAAGAAUCUUAACCUGUU
This is a long non-coding RNA of Oncorhynchus nerka (sockeye salmon), 923 nucleotides long. RefSeq lists it as uncharacterized. Lineage: Eukaryota; Metazoa; Chordata; Actinopteri; Salmoniformes; Salmonidae. The transcript has 3 exons. The record is from RefSeq and is a predicted model, not a curated record.